AACGAACGCUGGCGGCAGGCUUAACACAUGCAAGUCGAACGCCCCGCAAGGGGAGUGGCAGACGGGUGAGUAACGCGUGGGAACAUACCCUUUUCUACGGAAUAGCUCUGGGAAACUGGAAUUAAUACCGUAUACGCCCUACGGGGGAAAGAUUUAUCGGGGAAGGAUUGGCCCGCGUUGGAUUAGCUAGUUGGUGGGGUAAAGGCCUACCAAGGCGACGAUCCAUAGCUGGCCUGAGAGGAUGAUCAGCCACAUUGGGACUGAGACACGGCCCAAACUCCUACGGGAGGCAGCAGUGGGGAAUAUUGGACAAUGGGCGCAAGCCUGAUCCAGCCAUGCCGCGUGAGUGAUGAAGGCCUUAGGGUUGUAAAGCUCUUUCACCGAUGAAGAUAAUGACGGUAGUCGGAGAAGAAGCCCCGGCUAACUUCGUG
RNAcentral lists this ribosomal RNA (431 nucleotides) under uncultured bacterium. RNAcentral describes it as "partial 16S ribosomal RNA". It matches the Rfam family "Bacterial small subunit ribosomal RNA", at positions 29 to 507 of the family's 1533-position model. The record is from RNAcentral.